Molecule: transfer RNA, 68 nt
Filed under: Marmota monax (woodchuck)
Lineage: Eukaryota; Metazoa; Chordata; Mammalia; Rodentia; Sciuridae
Description: tRNA.Val
Source: RNAcentral
GGAUAUAGCUCAGUUGGUAGAGUGUUUGCCUUACAUGUAAAAGGCCCUGGGUUCAAUCGGCAGCACCA